Molecule: transfer RNA, 86 nt
Filed under: Dreissena polymorpha
Lineage: Eukaryota; Metazoa; Mollusca; Bivalvia; Myida; Dreissenidae
Rfam family: tRNA
About the family: Transfer RNA (tRNA) molecules are approximately 80 nucleotides in length. Their secondary structure includes four short double-helical elements and three loops (D, anti-codon, and T loops). Further hydrogen bonds mediate the characteristic L-shaped molecular structure. tRNAs have two regions of fundamental functional importance: the anti-codon, which is responsible for specific mRNA codon recognition, and the 3' end, to which the tRNAs corresponding amino acid is attached (by aminoacyl-tRNA synthetases). tRNAs cope with the degeneracy of the genetic code in two manners: having more than one tRNA (with a specific anti-codon) for a particular amino acid; and 'wobble' base-pairing, i.e. permitting non-standard base-pairing at the 3rd anti-codon position.
Source: Rfam by way of RNAcentral
GCCGGAAUAGCUCAGUUGGGAGAGCGUUAGACUGAAGGUUGCAAACUGACAUCUAAAGGCCCCCGGUUCAAUCCCGGGUUCCGGCA